This is a long non-coding RNA of Takifugu rubripes (torafugu), 4317 nucleotides long. The record is from Ensembl. Lineage: Eukaryota; Metazoa; Chordata; Actinopteri; Tetraodontiformes; Tetraodontidae.
AUGCAGCCCAUUGAUAGCACAGCUGGCAAUGCAGCCAAAUCCAAGACCAAAAAGUCCAAGUUUCUGAACGAGGCUCUCCGGUGCUUUCUUUCAUGUUUUUGUGUCACUGUGGAGGACUCAGAUGAAGAAGAUGAUGAGCCUUUGGACCAACCAAGGCGGUACGACCAAACGUUCCUCAAAGUUAAACAUAUUGCCCUGAAUUGUGACUGGAACAUUCAUGUGACAAAGGGAGAAGGGUUCUUCAUCAUACAGAUCUUCUGUUUUCUUGGGUUUUGCAUUAGCAGGGAGAAGCAGGCUGAAGAGCCUUUGACAAUAGUCAGCCGGCCAGGCUCACCUUUAGGAGUCGCAGGACACCAGAGCCCAAAGUGUCCUGCAGGGGAAGGAGGAGAAGACACGUGUCCAGUAGACAGUCCCUGUUCCUCCACAUCCAGCAGCGACAUUGAACAAGCUAUAAAAAUGCUUCUUCUAAACUUAACAUUGAUAUAUUUUUAACUUUGUUUAACGUGAUUGAGCUGAUGUUGCUUUAUUCUUAACGGAGCCUGGGGUCUACAGAUGAAGAAGACCCAGAGAUACAUUCUUCCUGUGUCAGUGACACCGAACAGGAGGAGCUGGCUGAAGAGCCCUCGGCAAGAGUCCACCAGCCAGGCUCAGGUACAUUUUUCUCUUGUGAUAGAGAAAAUUUAACACCAGUUCCCGAUGUUUCACAUGGACCCUGUCUACUCUUCCAACAGAGACCAAAGUGUCCUGCAUUGGCCGGAGAAGUGGACACGUGUCUGGUGGACAGCCCCUGUUCCUCCACAUUCAGCAGUGAUGUCGAACAAGCUGUAAAAAUGCUCUUUCUAUAAUUAACAUUGAUGUAUUUUUGACUUUGUUUUUCUAGAUUGAGCUGAUGUUGCUUUAUUCUUAACAGAGUCUGGGGUCUACAGAUGAAGAAGACCCAGAGAUAUAUUCGUCCUGUGUCAGUGGCACCCAGGUCACCAGGUACAUUUUUAAUAGAUUGAGCUGAUUUUGCUUUGCCUUUAACUAACAGAGCCUGGAGGAGAAGAAUGAGGAAGACUCGCUUUCUUCACAUCUGGCGGCUGUUUUGGCUGUGACGUCACAGCCUAGUGCUACAAAGAAUAGAUUCCUGGAGGCCUUAAACUAUGUGGUCUCGAGAAGCAGAAUGGAAAGUGGGAGAACCCUUACAUCUGAUGAACUGGCCUGUUAUGGGUAAGAAAUUUUGCAUAUCAUCAUCAACAACAACACUUUGCUCAGUUUUUCUUGUGUUUCAGGCUCCCCAACCUGUCCCAGACCUGCUAUAUGAACUCUGUUCUCCAGAGCCUCCUGACCCCCAUGCCUUUUGUGAAGGAGCUCAACAAACAGAGUCAACAGUGGCUUUCGCACCCAAAAGCUCUGCUUUUCAAGUACAACACAAGCUCACGUGCCCCCAUUAUUCUAUGGCAUUAAUGCAAUGAAUGAAAAACAUCUGCUUUCUCCUUUCUCCAGGUUGCUCAGUGACAUCAACAAUGGCUUCGCGACUAAAAACAGAAUGCAAGAGAAGUCCACCCUCUUUAAAUUCCUGCGGACCAUUGCCCUGCAUCAUCCAGAAUUUAGAAAUGAUGCCCAACAAGUAAUCAUUCUUUUAUUUUCAAGAGCAUCAUCCUGAUCUUUUCUGGACUAGACACUUUGGUCUGUCUGCAGGAUGCCCACGAAUUUUUGAACACCAUCCUGGAACAGCUGAGCUCCAUCUCUGCAGAGAUCAGGUCAUUGGCAAAUGAGAAACAGCAGAGCUACACCUGCCCUGUGGAGGCUCACAUCAGCUUCCAGAUGUUGAGCACCAUGCUGUGCCACAGGUGGGAAUAUACCUGGAAACCUUCUGCUCCUGCAUAGGUGUUGAACUUGUUUAGUUGAAUCCUUAGUUACUUGAAUCCUCUCUUGAAUUACAGUUGUGGCCAUGAACGUGAAAAUAUGGAGGAGUGUUUGAACCUGUCCGUGGCGCCUGAGGACACCAUCAUGCAAGGAAUACAGCUGUACCUGAAAGUAAGGGACACAUGUUUGGUGUUCAUGUGUGAAUGAUGGAGGAGCUGUUGAACCUCACGACUGUUGUUGAUUCUGCAGGAGCAACUGCUGGAUUACAAAUGUCACUGUGGCGCCUCCCAGACGACAGAGCAAAGAUCCUUCUUCACUCUGCCAAAGUGAGAACCAGCCAUCUCAGCAUCCUCACAUCUGCUGCCUUCUAAAGGCCCUAACUGUCUCUACAUCUCCUCUUCCCUCCCCUUUUCUUCUCGAUAGUGUGCUGAUCAUCCACCUAUUGAGAUUUAAGUGGUCCUACUUUGCUGCGCAAAAAAUACACAAAGCCACAUGUUUAUCCAGGGAGCUGCUGCUCCAUACAAAUCAGAGCAGUGAGAAGGUAAACCCUUGAUAAACCUUUAAGCAGUCAUCAGUCUGAAAUGGCUCAAAGAGUGGAGCUAAUGGCUUGUUCUUUUUAUUUUCUGUAGACAAAAUAUACUCUGAAGAGCAUCGUCAACUAUUUGGGGAGUUGCACUACCAGCGGUCAGUGUUUCGCUGUCAGUAUUGCGUUGAAAACCAACCUUCUAGUUUGACCACUAACAAAGCAGUUCCUUCCUUCACAGGCCAUUACAUUUGUGAUGGAGUUUAUCGAAAUGCAAGCCAAGGGGAUGGGAAUGCCUGCUGGGUGACAUACGAUGACGACGUUGUCACAGAAACAAAUUUUAACCACGUGUGCCAGCAGCGGCAAAAAACAGCAUAUUUACUCUAUUAUGAGAAGAUGGAGAAGGAUUAGAAUCAGGACAAGAAAUAUGACUAAAUAUGUCAUUUGUUAGAACUGGUUGUCUCAGGACCCAAAAGCAGGCAACCCACAGUGGGGAAAAAUGAACUAAAAGUGCCUUUAUUCAAAACACAAGGUUCACAAGGUCUGGGUGUGGUAGAAGUUGCGGAGGAGGCCGUCGUCAAGGAUGAAUCGGCUGCAGCUUUCCCCAUCCGCUCCACCUCAGAGGGCCCCACGAAGCGAGGAGCCAGCUUCUGAGACGCAGGAGUGCAGCACGGACUUGCCUCCACACCCUCCUGCAACGGCGCAUGCUGGCCUGUACCGAGGGUACCGCUACUUCGUCCUCCUGGAUCUCAAAUAACAGAGGCUGGUACCCCAGGGAUGCCAUGAAGGGAGACAGUCCGGUGGACGCUGAGACCACGGAACUCCACGGCAGGUGGGUGAUUGACCCCCGGGUGGCAGGUCAACUUUGAGGCGUGGGCCCGUUGCAGGACAUCAGACCGCACCGCCUCCAGGACGAACAGCCGGUUCGGUGGACCUCCACCAGGAUCCGGGGCAUCCACCUCCACCACAAACUGCCAACUGGGGUCGAGUUGCGCGAGGAUGGGCGACGACGAGAACAGGCUCUUCAGCCUGCUGAAAGCGGCUUCGGCCUCGGGAGUCCAGCUGAAAACCUGUAGAGUGGAAGUGAGUCUGGUGAGUGGGGCAGCCACCUUGCUGUAGUCCCGGAUGAAGCGGCGGUAGAAGUUAGCAAAGCCCAGGAACUGUUGCAGCUGCUUCCGGGAAGAGGGAGUCGGCCACUCCAUGACUGUCUUUACCCCGGCCGUAUCCGGGGAAAGCUGUCCCCGCACCACCACGAACUCCAGAAAGGAGAUGGUGGUGUGGAACUCGCACUUCUCAGCCUUCACAAUAAGACGGUUCUCCAGGAGCCGUCGGAGGAUGAAAUGGACAUGCAGAACGUGUUGUUUCCGAAACCACACCCUCGUUCCCUACUCACUAGUCACUACAUGGGGAACAUGGAUUGAGUGAACUACGUAGCACACUCAAUUUAAAGUUAGUACAACGGUGUCAUUUACGGCGCAUGUAAAGUGACGUCAUGGUGUCGCAUAAUAAUUACGAACCGGUCGCCGGGAAAAGUGGCCAGGUCCAUUUAAUUAUUUUAACCCAUCAGAAAUACAUUCAGCGGUCAUUUUAUGAAAAUGCUAUAUUUUACCCUAUAAUCAACUUUAUAUAAUAAAAUUAAAUAUUAAUGUCAAUAAUAAUACAAUAAUAAUUACUUAUUACCUAAAAUAAUUAGUGUCCCUUGACAUUUUCAAGCCAAGACGUGAUGGUACAUUCUCAAGUCAUAUUCCGCUGUAGUGAAAACAUUUAAUAAAGCAAUUUUUCAUCAAAAAAUGGAUCCAGAGCUACUUUUCAUCUUUGUAAAUAUUCUUUUCCUGAGUUUCUGUCGCCUGGUGAGGAACAGACGAUUCCGAAGAACAAUUUUAAGUGAGGGGCGGGGGGAUCAGUGAUUGAUUGAUUUUUUUUUUUUUACACAUUUAUGUUGUAAU